RNAcentral lists this ribosomal RNA (421 nucleotides) under uncultured bacterium. Its description in RNAcentral is "partial 16S ribosomal RNA". It matches the Rfam family "Bacterial small subunit ribosomal RNA", at positions 360 to 773 of the family's 1533-position model. The record is from RNAcentral.
AAUUUUGGACAAUGGGGGCAACCCUGAUCCAGCCAUCCCGCGUGUGUGAUGAAGGCCUUCGGGUUGUAAAGCACUUUUGGCAGGGAAGCAAAGGCGCAGGCUAAAACCCUGUGCUGCUGACUGUACCUGUAGAAUAAGCACCGGCUACCUACGUUCCACCAGCCGCGGUAAUACGUAGGGUGCGAGCGUUAAUCGGAAUUACUGGGCGUAAAGCGUGCGUCGGCGGUUUGGCAAGAAAGGUGUGAAAUCCCAGAGCUUAACUUUGGAACUGCACUUUUAACUGCCAGGCUAGAGUAUGUCAGAGGGGGGUAGAAUUCCGCGUGUAGCAGUGAAAUGCGUAGAGAUGCGGAGGAAUACCGAUGGCGAAGGCAGCCCCCUGGGAUAAUACUGACGCUCAGGCACGAAAGCGUGGGGAGCAAAC